CGAACGGGUGAGUAUAAUGUAGCGUAUCUGCCUUUUGGUUUGGAAUAACACGAGGAAACUUGUGCUAAUACCGGAUAAGCCUUCACAGGGAAAGUUUUAACGCCAAAAGAUGAGCCUGCACUUGAUUAGCUAGUUGGUAAGGUAAUGGCUUACCAAGGCUACGAUCAAUAGCUGUUCUUAGAGGAAGAUCAGCCACAUUGGGACUGAGACACGGCCCAAACUCCUACGGGAGGCAGCAGUGGGGAAUCUUGCACAAUGGGGGAAACCCUGAUGCAGCGAUGCCGCGUGAGUGAAGAAGGCCUUUGGGUUGUAAAGCUCUUUCGUCGGGGAAGAAAAUGACUGUACCCGAAUAAGAAGGUCCGGCUAACUUCGUGCCAGCAGCCGCGGUAAUACGAAGGGACCUAGCGUAGUUCGGAAUUACUGGGCUUAAAGAGCACGUAGGUGGUUAAAAAAGUUGGUGGUGAAAUCCCAAGGCUUAACCUUGGAACUGCCACCAAAACUUUUUAGCUAGAGUAUGAUUGAGGUAAGCGGAAUUUCUAGUGUAGAGGUGAAAUUCGUAGAUAUUAGAAAGAACACCAAUUGCGAAGGCAGCUUUCUGGAUCAUUACUGACACUGAGGUGCGAAAGCAUGGGGUAGCGAAGAGGAUUAUAUACCCUCGUAGUCCAUGCCCGUAAACGAUG
Molecule: ribosomal RNA, 680 nt
Filed under: uncultured Pelagibacterales bacterium
Lineage: Bacteria; Pseudomonadati; Pseudomonadota; Alphaproteobacteria; Candidatus Pelagibacterales
Description: bacterial SSU rRNA
Rfam family: Bacterial small subunit ribosomal RNA
Source: RNAcentral